This 233-nucleotide ribosomal RNA is filed under the name uncultured bacterium. RNAcentral's name for it is "partial 16S ribosomal RNA". It matches the Rfam family "Bacterial small subunit ribosomal RNA", at positions 96 to 334 of the family's 1533-position model. The record is from RNAcentral.
CGGCGAACGGGUGAGUAACGCGUGGAUACCUGCCCUGAGGUGGGGGAUAACCCGGAGAAAUUCGGGCUAAUACCGCAUAUGACUGUGAGGUCAAAGCGGGCUCGCAAGGGCUCGCGCCAUAGGAGGGGUCCGCGUCCGAUUAGCUAGUUGGUAGGGUAAUGGCCUACCAAGGCGACGAUCGGUAGCCGGCCUGAGAGGGUGAUCGGCCACACUGGAACUGAGACACGGUCCAG